AGAGCCGACAGCAGAGCCGUAUAGGGGAGCAGUGGCCUGUACACGCGGAGCUACCGGGAGCCAGAAGCCGAAAGCAAGUGAGCUGAGCGACGAUGGUGGUGGUGGUGGCGACCUCGAGCCCCGGCGGGCCGGAGGCGCUGCAGGUGUGCGCGCUGCUUACCGGCGGCGGGUAUGCGGAGAAGGUGGUGGUUCCGGCAGGGCAGCUGCUCCCGGUGACGGAGGGGGCGUCGCUGACUGACAGCCCGAGGUGGCCUCCACCGUCUGGUCCACCAUUUUCAUGCCAGUCACCUCUCCCUCGGUGAAUCCUUCCUUAUCCUUUGGUGGAUCUAGUGGAGUCGGUACAUUGGCUAUACAGAAUUCAAAGCACCUUGGAAAUGUACACAUGAGACAUUAUUCUUUAUCGAAUUUCCGACAUCAGAGACACGUAUGCUGUUAAUCAGGUGCUGAAGAAAAAAUCAAUCCUCUCCACUUGAAGGUAGGUGAUGCACACAGAUUUCUUCUUACCUUGCAAGCACCGUUGGAUGAAGAGAGUAGGCAUGAUCAUGGACAAACGCAGUGAGUGCUCAACCCAUCUGUACAUACGCUGCACUUUAUGGCCCCGUGCCGCUGCCAUCCUUAUCAUGCCUCUCCUUGAUCUGGCUCCCCACAGUGCCGUCUUGCCUCGAUCUUGCAGGAGAGGAGGACAUUGUUUAUUUGCGUAGGGCUGUCGGGGGAUAAUUCGAUCGAGUAGGAGUUGUUACGUGGAAGAGGAGCUAGCAGCUGGGCGAUCGUUUGGCUAGGUGACGAGGAAGAAAUUGAUACGGCCGGCCGUUGUACGGGAGCACGGCCAGAGAUGGAGUUCGAUACGGUCUGCACCCAAAUCAGAAGGUUUGGCCACCCUUAACAAUAUCCUCAUCGGAUAUAACUUGGGGAAGGCGAAGGCGUACCCCCUACUAUAUAAGCUCCGCCACCCACGCCCCAAACAAAUCAUAACCAACCUUCCUCAAGUCGUUUGUUCCCCCGAGCAAUCGAGUUGUGUUCCCGGCGAUCGAUCGAUCCAUCUUGCUGAGCAUCAUGGUUUCCGCCGACGUGGCUCGCAACAUCGUCGGCAUCAUUGGCAAUGUCAUCUCCUUUGGGCUCUUCCUCUCCCCUGUGCCGACGUUCUGGCGUAUCUGCAAGGCCAAGGACGUGCAGGAGUUCAAGCCGGACCCCUACCUGGCGACGCUCAUGAACUGCCUGCUCUGGUUCUUCUACGGGCUCCCUAUCGUCCACCCCAACAGCACCCUCGUCCUCACCAUCAACGGCAUCGGCCUCGUCAUCGAGGGCGCCUACAUCAUCAUCUUCAUCAUCUACGCGGCCAAGAACACAAGGUGGAAGAUGCUCGGCGUGCUCGCCAUCCAGGCAGCGUUCAUGGCUGCCGUGGUGGCCGGUGUGCUCGUCGGCGCCCACACCCAUGAGAAGCGCUCCAUGAUCGUAGGCAUCCUCUGCGUCAUCUUCGGCUCCAUCAUGUACGCCUCCCCGCUCACCAUCAUGGGUAAAGUGAUCAGGACCAAGAGUGUGGAGUACAUGCCAUUCUUCCUGUCACUGGUAAACUUCCUCAACGGUCUCUGCUGGACGGGCUAUGCGCUAAUCAAGUUUGACAUCUACAUCACGAUCCCCAAUGCCCUCGGUACAAUCUUCGGCCUCAUCCAGCUGAUCCUUUACGGGUACUACUACAGAUCUACCCCCAAGAAGGGCAAGAAUGUCGAGCUGCCCACCGUCCUCACCAAAAACGCCGUUACCAGCGGCAACGUCUCCGUCACCAUAGAGAAAUAAGCUUUGCUUCCUUUUUAGCCCUAAAGAUUUUGAGUAGUUAAUACCGGAUGAUACUUCAAC
RNAcentral lists this ribosomal RNA (1854 nucleotides) under Triticum aestivum (bread wheat). RNAcentral's name for it is "partial small subunit ribosomal RNA". The record is from RNAcentral. Lineage: Eukaryota; Viridiplantae; Streptophyta; Magnoliopsida; Poales; Poaceae.